RNAcentral lists this ribosomal RNA (433 nucleotides) under uncultured bacterium. RNAcentral's name for it is "partial 16S ribosomal RNA". It matches the Rfam family "Bacterial small subunit ribosomal RNA", at positions 29 to 507 of the family's 1533-position model. The record is from RNAcentral.
AACGAACGCUGGCGGCAGGCUUAACACAUGCAAGUCGAGCGGGCCCUUCGGGGUCAGCGGCAGACGGGUGAGUAACACGUGGGAACGUACCUUUUGGUUCGGAACAACUCCGGGAAACUGGAGCUAAUACCGGAUAAGCCCUUAGGGGGAAAGAUUUAUCGCCAAAAGAUCGGCCCGCGUCUGAUUAGCUAGUUGGUGGGGUAACGGCCCACCAAGGCGACGAUCAGUAGCUGGUCUGAGAGGAUGAUCAGCCACACUGGGAUUGAGACACGGCCCAGACUCCUACGGGAGGCAGCAGUGGGGAAUAUUAGACAAUGGGCGCAAGCCUGAUCCAGCCAUGCCGCGUGAGUGAUGAAGGCCUUAGGGUUGUAAAGCUCUUUUGUCCGGGAAGAUAAUGACUGUACCGGAAGAAUAAGCCCCGGCUAACUUCGUG